Molecule: long non-coding RNA, 2043 nt
Filed under: Theobroma cacao (cacao)
Lineage: Eukaryota; Viridiplantae; Streptophyta; Magnoliopsida; Malvales; Malvaceae
Description: long non-coding RNA (TCAC_LNC006360)
Source: RNAcentral
GAGGAAGUGCGAAAGUUGAUACGAGAGCCUUGCGGGGUUUCGAUCGACAUUCGGGAUGAAGAAUGUCCGUCGAGGCCUCGCAGCUGUUGUCACGGGCCCGAUGGGGAGUUCCGAGUCGUGACAACAAAUCAGCCCAUUUUCUCUUCAUAUGGCCGGUCAAACCAAGAGCAAAGGAAGAACAAAGGGAGAAAAGAAAAAAAAAAACCCUAGGUGGGAAAAUUCAAAGGAAAAUUGGUGGAUUUCAAGGAAUCAAGCAAUCAAAGGUAAAAUUUCUUGAUUUUGACUUGUGAUCUACCUUUCCCAUGCAUUUCUCAUUGUUUUCCAUGGUUAGAUUUCAUGUUUUCAUGGUGAAUUCAUGGCUGGUCAAAAUGGGUAUGGAGAGAGAAAGAUGUUAGAUUGAUUUGAUUUUAAGUUAUGUUAGUGUUUUUAGUUAGUUUAGCAUAUUUAGAAACAAAACAAUAAGAAAAGAAUUCAUUUUCCCCAUCAACCAUCAAUGGUCGAAUUUCCUAGGGAGGAUAUUGUGGUUGAAAUUGAUGAUAUUUCAUGAUAUUUUGGUGAUAUUUGAUGUUUGGUGAGGCUAGAAAUUAAAUGGAAAAUUUUGGUGUGAAAAUCUGAAUUUUUACCUAAUGUAUAGACAUGUAUGAUUAUUGACCCGAGAUUGAUAAAUUGAAUCUCAUUCGCAGUCACUGAGGUAAUUUAGGUAUAAUUGGAGUGUAGAAGUGAAAGAAAUUGAUUUGGAGUUAAAUUGGAGGUUUUAGCCAAUUACACCGAGAAUAGUGCGAAUUAGGUUGAAUACCGUAUUUAAACGUCUAUUCGAACAUUUUGCAUCACAUUUCAUGCAUUCAUAUAGAUUUAUAGAGCCUGAAAUAGUUUAUGAUAAAUUGACACAAUUUAUUGAAAUUCGUGUCACGUAUAAUGUAUAGGUGGUGAGCCCUCUAACAAGGGUAAAGAGAUUGUGCCCGAAGAUCGAGAAUAGGAGUAUAUCGAACUCCUAGUACUGUGAGUAGCCUUAUCAUCAUUUUAAUUAUUUAAAGUAUGUUUUAAUUCGGUUUUGGUGAAAUUUUAUGAAAAUGAGUUUAAAUGGUAAAUCUUUGUGUUUUACAAACAAAAUGUAUUUACAUGAAAAGAUUUUAUAAAUUGUUUUGAAAUUGAAUAAUGAUUUUGAAAAAUAGAAUAAUUGGAGACCACUUGUUAUGUUGUAAAAUUUAUGAUUUUGAAUCGAAUGGCUUAUGACAAUAUUUGCAUGAAUGACUGAAUUGACAUUUGUGUUGAAAUAUAUGAAAUGUGCCUUGAAAGGCUGUGAAUUACAAUAAUUGUCAUAUCAUGUUAUUGAAUUUUAUUGAUUGAUGGGAUAAUUAUUAGCUUACUGUAGUAGGCGGGUUUUCGUGGACUAGCCUAUUAGAGGGGCACGGUAAACCUCGUUAUAUUUUACCUCAGUUAGAGAGGCGAGUAGGGUAACUCUCGAGGUAUAACUUUUAGAGUUCACUCCAUGCCAAACCAUCACGUGAGGGGGAACUCGGCCAACGCCAAGGAACGACUAUGUUUUCAAAAUAAAACAUGAAUUUCUAAUAGUUUUGGCGGACUUAGUUGGGAUAGCCCUCGGCCAAGGUAUCCUAGAUAACUGAGUAUGAUAAUAAUUGUUGGCAUGAGCCAAGCUUUUAAGAAAUUCAUAAGCCAUACUGAUUACUUGAUUUAAAUAAAUUGAUUUCAUUUGGUUGAAAUAAGUUGAAAGAUGAUAAAUUACAGUUUGAUGAAAUGUUUUAAUAGUCUCUUUUUACUCGCUUUUAGAUAUUUUAACUGAUAUUUGUUUACUCACUGGGAUUUUAUAAUCUCACCACUUUCCUUUCCACCCAUUUCAGGCUCAAAAUAGAUUGUAGAUAACUGAUAUCGGCGAGGACUACAGUUGGACUUGCCACAUCCAAAAACUGUAGGUUCAUUUUUUUAGAUACUUUUAGUCAUUCGUGGGACCAAGUGUCAUUGUAAAUUAAAUUUUAUACUUUGGUUAUCUGUAUUACAGCAUGUAUGAAUUUAUUUUGCUUUUAC